Molecule: ribosomal RNA, 253 nt
Filed under: uncultured bacterium
Lineage: Bacteria
Description: partial 16S ribosomal RNA
Rfam family: Bacterial small subunit ribosomal RNA
Source: RNAcentral
UACGUAGGCAGCGAGCGUUGUUCGGAGUUACUGGGCGUAAAGAGUGCGUAGGCGGUUUUCUAAGUUUGGUGUGAAAUCUCCCGGCUUAACUGGGAGGGUGCGCCGAAAACUGGAAGGCUUGAGUAUGGGAGAGGUAAGCGGAAUUCCUGGUGUAGCGGUGAAAUGCGUAGAUAUCUGGAGGAACACCGGUGGCGAAGGCGGCAUUCUGGACUGUAACUGACACUAAGGAACGAAAGCCAGGGGAGCAAACGGG